RNAcentral lists this non-coding RNA (90 nucleotides) under uncultured Marvinbryantia sp. Lineage: Bacteria; Bacillati; Bacillota; Clostridia; Lachnospirales; Lachnospiraceae. The record is from RNAcentral.
GAAACGGGGGGCUUGUUGAAACAGGCUGAGAGUAAGCUGGAUUGCUUUGACCCGGAACCUGAUUUGGAUAAUGCCAACGUAGGGAUGACA